This 934-nucleotide small RNA is filed under the name Pan troglodytes (chimpanzee). RNAcentral describes it as "processed transcript". The record is from RNAcentral. Lineage: Eukaryota; Metazoa; Chordata; Mammalia; Primates; Hominidae.
CUGGCCGGGCUGGCUGCGGCCGCCCUGGGCCGGGCCCCACCGGACGGCUUGCUCUGCUCUUUACCUGGGGUUGCUGUCGAGGACCCUGUGCAAGACUCGGCCGGUUUUUCUUUCUCCCUGAUGGACAGACCCAAACAUAGCCGCGCAGCAUCGUGAAGGGCUGGGGCCUUCACUCCUCUGUGGCUCUGGAAGAGCCCGGUUUCCUCAGGAGGUAAAGGAAUGUUCCUGUCCCCCGGGGGAAAGAAAGUGAAAACGAAAGCGCCCUGGCUGCUCCUGGUGUGGUCCCAUUUAAAACGAGGUUGCUGAAGGCCAGGACGCGUGCUACCCGGAUGUGUGCCCAGAAACCCUGCAGCCAAGAGCAGCCGCCUGGACCACCAGCCUCCCCUUCAUCCAGCUGGCCCAGCCCAGAGCCCAGGCCCACGUCUGGUGGCAUGUCGGGCCCCAGGCCUGUGGUGCUGAGCGGGCCUUCGGGAGCUGGGAAGAGCACCCUGCUGAAGAGGCUGCUCCAGGAGCACAGCGGCAUCUUUGGCUUCAGCGUGUCCCAUACCACGAGGAACCCGAGGCCCGGCGAGGAGAACGGCAAAGAUUACUACUUUGUAACCAGGGAGGUGAUGCAGCGUGACAUAGCAGCCGGCGACUUCAUCGAGCAUGCCGAGUUCUCGGGGAACCUGUAUGGCACGAGCAAGGUGGCGGUGCAGGCUGUGCAGGCCAUGAACCGCAUCUGUGUGCUGGACGUGGACCUGCAGGGUGUGCGGAACAUCAAGGCCACCGAUCUGCAGCCCAUCUACAUCUCUGUGCAGCCACCUUCACUGCAUGUGCUGGUGUGUGCUGGGCAGGGUUGGGGGCUGGGGGCCAGGGCAUGCCAGGCUCUGAUUGCCACCCCCUUUUUAGGAGCAGCGGCUGCGGCAGCGCAACACUGAAACGGAGGAGAGCC